UCAAGGCCAAAAGCAGCAUGGGCCGAGGAAUGUGCUGGCCACCACUUCCCACAGCCCCCAUUGGCCUGGAGCAGUAAACCGCGGCCAGUGGGAACUGCAAUCGGCCGAACCUGCAGACGCUGCAGAACCGGCACCUACUUUUACAUUGGCCAGUUCCUGAGUUCGAGUGUUCCUGUGUGUGUAGAGAGCACCUAGCACAUUGCAGAUUGGACAGCUACCAUCACCACCAUCAAAACUGAAGCAUAUAUUGUGCAGCAGUGCAAUACCAUUUUGUUAGUUGACCUACUGUUAGUAGAAGAUGAUAAAG
Long non-coding RNA from Chelonia mydas (Green sea turtle), 307 nucleotides. RefSeq lists it as uncharacterized. The transcript has 3 exons. The record is from RefSeq and is a predicted model, not a curated record. Lineage: Eukaryota; Metazoa; Chordata; Testudines; Cheloniidae.